This 444-nucleotide ribosomal RNA is filed under the name uncultured bacterium. Its description in RNAcentral is "bacterial SSU rRNA". It matches the Rfam family "Bacterial small subunit ribosomal RNA", at positions 1052 to 1504 of the family's 1533-position model. The record is from RNAcentral.
UCGUCAGCUCGUGCCGUGAGGUGUCGGCUUAAGUGCCAUAACGAGCGCAACCCCUCUCCGUAGUUGCCAUCAGGCUAAGCUGGGCACUCUGCGGACACUGCCACCGUAAGGUGCGAGGAAGGUGGGGAUGACGUCAAAUCAGCACGGCCCUUACGUCCGGGGCUACACACGUGUUACAAUGGGGGGUACAGAGAGUCGGCUGCCCGCAAGGUCAGUCCAAUCAUGAAAGCCUCCCUCAGUUCGGACUGGGGUCUGCAACCCGACCCCACGAAGCUGGAUUCGCUAGUAAUCGCGCAUCAGCCAUGGCGCGGUGAAUACGCUCCCGGGCCUUGUACACACCGCCCGUCAAGCCAUGAAAGCUGGGGGCGCCUGAAGUCCGUGACCGCGAGGGUCGGCCUAGGGCGAAACCGGUGAUUGGGGCUAAGUCGUAACAAGGUAGCCGUA